Molecule: ribosomal RNA, 253 nt
Filed under: uncultured bacterium
Lineage: Bacteria
Description: partial 16S ribosomal RNA
Rfam family: Bacterial small subunit ribosomal RNA
Source: RNAcentral
UACGAAGGGGGCUAGUGUUGCUCGGAAUCACUGGGCGUAAAGGGUGCGUAGGCGGGUCUUUAAGUCAGGGGUGAAAUCCUGGAGCUCAACUCCAGAACUGCCUUUGAUACUGAGGAUCUUGAGUUCGGGAGAGGUGAGUGGAACUGCGAGUGUAGAGGUGAAAUUCGUAGAUAUUAGGAAGAACACCAGUGGCGAAGGCGGCUCACUGGCCCGGAACUGACGCUGAUGUGCGAAAGCGUGGGGAGCAAACAGG